RNAcentral lists this long non-coding RNA (3255 nucleotides) under Sus scrofa (pig). RNAcentral describes it as "lncRNA (ENSSSCG00015060883.1)". Lineage: Eukaryota; Metazoa; Chordata; Mammalia; Artiodactyla; Suidae. The record is from RNAcentral.
ACUCAAAAUAGGUGGUAUUUUUCUUUCUUUUUCUUAUUUAUGAUAAUAUUUCUCACUACUAAAGAAAGAUGCUUGGUCAAACAGAUGUCUUUUUUUCCUUUGGGCUCUUUCAAUCUGUGUUGUUACUUCAACACAUACCCCGAAAGGUUAGGCGUAUAUUCUGCUUUUAAGAUUUUUAAAUAAAUCUUUAAUUUGAAAGCUGUCAUGAAUAUGAUACAACCAAUGCAAAUCUGUUCUGGAGGGAGGAGCCAGCUGCUCUGCCAUUCUGUUCAGUCUCUGCUCCUACACCUGAGUUCAACUGGAGGCAAUUAAAACUGAAUGUAUCUCUCUCUCUCUCUCUCUCUUUUUUUUUUUUCCUGGGAACCUCCAUAUGUCUCUGGUGGGGCCCAAGAAAAAGACAAAAAGACAAAAAAAAAGAAAAAAAAAGGAAUAUAAUUCAUUCACAAUACCAUGUUAGUUUUAGGUGUAAAGCACAGUGAUUCAGUUAUAAUAUAUAUUAUUUUCCAGAAUCUUUUUCCUUAUGGGUUAUUACAAAAUAUUGAUCAUAAUUCCCUGUGCCAUGCUCAUGAAUUUUUAAAUCAAGUGACUGAGACAAAACUGGUAUUUUGGGCAAGAGCUUCAAUUAUCUGAACAAUAUCCUUCCUUCUUUGCUCCACAAACUUAAAUUUUAAAAAAUAUUCUUGAGUAUGUUAGAUUUCUUAUAUUUUAGCUUUAGGUACAUCUAUUUUGAGAUAAAUGUGCUCUAUUUCAUUUAAAAUUACAUCCAAAAGAGUGGGAUCAAUUUGACCAAGUCAUCCUUUCAUUAUUGGCUUUCCUUUGAGGGCAUGUUUUGUGUGAUGUCCUACUUUAAUUCACAAACCAAACUCAACUGAGAGUUGAAAACUUGGGGAAACACAAAACUUAAAUGCCUCUGACAAAAGGAAAGAGGGUUUUAAGAGAAGUAGGCGAGGCAUAAGUUAUCAUGAGGGCUGCGGGUAACUCUAUAGUGUAAGUAGCCAUUGACCUGUCCACUGAGUUACUGAAACCUCUCCCAGAGCUCCAGGAAGGAAAAUAAAGUGUUAGUAGAAGUUUCCUGUAAUCCUUCCUCAUCAUGACAUAGGAUCCCUUGGGAAAUCUGCUGCUGUUUUAAGAUUUCUCUACUUGCAUGUGGGGCGGUGGUUACUUCCCAAUGUCAUAUUUCAGGCCCCUUGGCAAGUAAUCCAACUCACUUUUAGUUGCCAUCUUCAAUAGCAGGUCUUUUCAAGUUGCCAGAUCUCUUCCAUUCUAGCUUUACUUUAAGGUGGGCUCAUUAAACUGUCCAUGUAAAUAUUAAAUUUAGCUGCCUGAAGCAGUUUCUUCAAAAGCCCAAAUAAUUAUAGAUUGCUUUAUUUAAGUGAAAUCAAACAAUGAUGAAUUAGAUUUUGGGGAAAUUACAUUUCAAUGUUUAAUAGCUUUAUUUUAUUUUAUUUUUCUUUUUUUUUUUAUUUUGUGGCUGCACCCAUGGCAUGCAGAAUUAGCAGGUUGGGGAUUGAACCUGUGCCAUAGCAGUAACCAGAGCCACAAUUGUGACAAUGUGGGAUCCUUAGCCCACUGAGCCACCAGAGAACUCCUUUAGCAGAUUUAUGGAAGUAUAAUUUAUAUACCAUAAACAUAAGCCUUCUCAUUCAAUGAUUCUAAUAGAUUUAUAGAGGUUAUAUGCCAUCACUAUUGUCACAAUCCAACUUUAAAUCAUUUCUGUCACUCUGAGGCUUUCCCUCUUGCCCAUUUUCAGUUAAUCCUCACUCCUGCCUCCCCAGCCCCAGACAAUCACUGAUCUACUUUCUGGAUCUAUGAGUUUGUCUUUUCUAUAAUUUUAUAUAAAUUAUAAGUGAUAUAAAUCAUAGAAUGUAUGAUCUAUUUCUUCUUUCUUAUUUCACUUAGCAUAAUGUUUUUGAGGUUCACCCAUAUUAUAGCAUAUGUUAGCAUUUUAUUCCUUUUAAUUGGUGAAUGAUAUUUUUGUAUUUUAAUUUUUAACUGGGUAUUUGGCAUACACUAAAUUAAGGGACAUAACUUUGACUUUAGUAUUAGCAAUAUAUGUUAAGUCUUUAAAGAGAAGCAAGGUAAGUACUUCCCUUACACUGAGGGAACAUAAAUAUCAAUUCCCUGGUGUUGGGCAGUCCAAGAUUCAGGUGCUGGCAGCUUCUGUGUCUGGCGAGAACUUGCUUCCUGGUUUUAUCUUUUUACUGUGCCUUCACAUGGUGGAGGGGCUAAGGUGCUCAGUAGGGUCUUUUUUAUUGGACCACUAAUCCCAUUCAUGAGAGUUAGGUCCUCAUGACCUAAUCAUCUCCCCAAACCCCUCUGCCAUCCUCAUCAGAUUGGGGAUUAGCUUUCAGCCUAUAAAUUGGGUAGGGGGGAGCACUUAGUCCAUAGUAAUUAUUUUAUUACUAUGUUCCAUAACUUACAUAUGUACUGCAUAAGUUCCUUUUGUGUGGAUCAAAUAUUAUAUAAUUAUAUCAUUGUAUGAUAGAAACCAUGAACGAACCCAGAUAUACCCUAUAAAGUUUUAUGAAGUCAUUAACGUAUGUCUUCUCAAAUUAUUUGAAAACAUUUUUAUUUCUAAGAAAGCUAUUCUUUGAUAGUAUUGAAUAUUCCAAAUGUUAGCCUUCAGAAGAAAAACUACUACCCACUCUUCAUCAGUAUGCCAGGAAAAACUGCCUGUUGAAAUUGAUAACUUCAGUAAGUCCAAACAAUAUGUUACCGACUGAAUAUCUUUGGAGUUCAUUGCCUUUGGGAUUGAUUAUCCUGUUCUCUUUCUCAUUCACCUUUUGGGACUUUUCACUACUCAUUAAGCACCUCCAUUAAACAGGAGGGAAGGGAAAGGAAAGGAGAGAAGGUGAAAUUCAAACCAUCCAACGUUAUUUCAGUGUUGGUUAGCAAGCUUGCUGGUAAGAGCUAAAGCACAGACACUGCAAUUAAUGAGCAUACUUAAUUUUUUUGAUUAUGUGUAAAAUUCACUUUAAGAUGUGCUUUCUUACAUUAUUUAGAUAGAAUCCUAAAUAAAAAUAAGCUUUUGGAUGGGUUCUAUGUCAAGUGACAGAAAACUCAUGAUUUAAGCAAAGCAAAAUUUAUUGGCCCUUCUAGGUGAAAAGUCCAAGGAUAUAGCUGAUUCAGUAUUGAAAGUUAGUGCAUAAAUUCAUCAUUAGAACUUACCUCAUGUUUAUAUUCUGCCUUCUGCUAGGCUGCAAAUGAAUUGCUUCCUGAAGGUCCAGUUACAUGCCCUCCUAUGUAUAAUCUCAG